AUUGAACGCUGGCGGCAGGCCUAACACAUGCAAGUCGAGCGGAUGAAGGGAGCUUGCUCCUGGAUUCAGCGGCGGACGGGUGAGUAAUGCCUAGGAAUCUGCCUGGUAGUGGGGGAUAACGUCCGGAAACGGGCGCUAAUACCGCAUACGUCCUGAGGGAGAAAGUGGGGGAUCUUCGGACCUCACGCUAUCAGAUGAGCCUAGGUCGGAUUAGCUAGUUGGUGAGGUAAAGGCCUACCAAGGCGACGAUCCGUAACUGGUCUGAGAGGAUGAUCAGUCACACUGGAACUGAGACACGGUCCAGACUCCUACGGGAGGCAGCAGUGGGGAAUAUUGGACAAUGGGCGAAAGCCUGAUCCAGCCAUGCCGCGUGUGUGAAGAAGGUCUUCGGAUUGUAAAGCACUUUAAGUUGGGAGGAAGGGCAGUAAGUUAAUACCUUGCUGUUUUGACGUUACCAACAGAAUAAGCACCGGCUAACCUCGUG
RNAcentral lists this ribosomal RNA (484 nucleotides) under uncultured bacterium. RNAcentral describes it as "partial 16S ribosomal RNA". It matches the Rfam family "Bacterial small subunit ribosomal RNA", at positions 30 to 507 of the family's 1533-position model. The record is from RNAcentral.